AAUGGUUAGGGUUCUAAGUUGCUAUUCAUUUCUUUCAACAGCUUCUUUCUGUCCGUCUCCAUUAUCAAAUCUCUGCGAAAAUUGCGGUUCACUAAAGAAUGAGAGAUUGAGUGAAAGAAAUCGCAAACAUAUCUUUAUAAGAUUGCAUAGUUCGUCGGUAUGGUUUUUCUUGUGAAGAUUUUGGAGCUUAGACUGAUUUGUUUGGUUAAUGAAUAUGGUGGUUUUCUUACAAGAGAUUAACACAAUGUUCGGAAACAUAAUGAGGAAUUGGAUGAACGGGUUAGAAAUGGAAGUUAGGGUUUGAAUCUGGUGCUAGCUGUAGAUGGGAAAACAAGUCCUGAGAGAGAUGGAGGCGGGUCUGGUAGUGUUGAUGAGAGGGGUUGCUGUUGAAGCUGUAUGUGGAGAAAUUGCAGAGAAACAAUGGGUCUUGGGGUUUUCUGGUGGUUGUGCUACACAAUGGUUUAUGAAUCUGGUGAUGGGGAUGGAGUUGCAAUACAGCUGAAGGUAAAGCCAAAAUGAAUGGUUUCUGUAUAGGGUUUUUGAUGGAAUUGAUUUGAUGUUGUUGUUGAUGAUUGAAAGAAAGAAAAGAUGAACUGAAAUACUGAAGUUGGUGGUGUUAAUGUGGUUGGAGGUGGUGAUGUUCUUUGAGCUAUUGAAGUAUGCUAGUGAUAGAAAGAGCAGGUUUUGGUGGUUGGAGUUGUGAGAGAUUCAAAUGGUCCUAUUGAGUCAGUUGAAUUCAGGGACAAAGAUGGUUGUUAUGUGGUGUUUGAUGCAGAAACUGAGAUGGUGGUGUUGUGUAGAUGCAAUUGCAGGAGAUAGAGUUGGGGUGUGGAGAAUCAGUUGCUCUCUGAUUCGAAUUGUAGGUUGGAAGAGAGCUCACACGGCAGGAAAAUGGUUUGUGUUUGUGUGUUUUGGGGGAAUGGGUUUGUGUCUGAUUUGAAAUUGCAUGCUACCAAGGUCUGUGUGGUUAUGCUUUGAGAUUCCAAGAGUUUGGGGUGAACAUAUGGCUGAAAAAGUAGCUGAAGAGAAGUUAGCUUAUGGCAUCUAUCAUCCAUAACACCAGUACUUCUUUCCCUCUUGCAAAACACCGCAGCUAGCAAAACCCCAACACAACACUACUGCCAGUUGCAAGGUUGCAUCAUCACCUGUUAGCAAAACCCCAACACACCACUAGUCCACCUGCAGCUUAGUUUGACAACUACAAAUCUUCACCGGCUUGCGGGGCAAACUGCAGUUGGUAGCCAGGCCACGUCAUCCGCUGCCAUGUGUUAGAGUUGGUAUAAUUCAUCCGCUGCCAUGUGUAUGAGUUGGUACACGUCAUCAGCUGCCACAUGUGAUAACUGAACUAUGGUUGACAAUAGCUUGAGUUAAAAUGAGGGUAUUUUGGAGAUAAGUAACAGCUUUUUUUUCCCAAAUUGUUAUGUCGGACGGAACAUGAUCAUUUUGUAAACUAAUUACAAAAGUGUGACCUUUUUGUAAAUGAAUUAUAAAAAGUAGGACCAUUUUGUGAUUGGUCUUUUAAUUUAAAACCAACCUAAUAACCA
This is a long non-coding RNA of Papaver somniferum (opium poppy), 1544 nucleotides long. RefSeq lists it as uncharacterized. NCBI's taxonomy places the organism in Eukaryota, Viridiplantae, Streptophyta, Magnoliopsida, Ranunculales, Papaveraceae. The record is from RefSeq and is a predicted model, not a curated record. The transcript has 2 exons.